RNAcentral lists this ribosomal RNA (497 nucleotides) under uncultured bacterium. RNAcentral's name for it is "partial 16S ribosomal RNA". It matches the Rfam family "Bacterial small subunit ribosomal RNA", at positions 28 to 507 of the family's 1533-position model. The record is from RNAcentral.
GAUGAACGCUGGCGGCGUGCCCAAUACAUGCAAGUAGAACGCUGAAGCUUGGUGCUUGCACCGAGCGGAUGAGUUGCGAACGGGUGAGUAACGCGUAGGUAACCUGCCUCUUAGCGGGGGAUAACUAUUGGAAACGAUAGCUAAUACCGCAUAAAAGUCGAUAUCGCAUGAUAUUGAUUUGAAAGGUGCAAAUGCAUCACUAAGAGAUGGACCUGCGUUGUAUUAGCUAGUUGGUGAGGUAACGGCUCACCAAGGCGACGAUACAUAGCCGACCUGAGAGGGUGAUCGGCCACACUGGGACUGAGACACGGCCCAGACUCCUACGGGAGGCAGCAGUAGGGAAUCUUCGGCAAUGGGGGCAACCCUGACCGAGCAACGCCGCGUGAGUGAAGAAGGUUUUCGGAUCGUAAAGCUCUGUUGUAAGAGAAGAACGAGUGUGAGAGUGGAAAGUUCACACUGUGACGGUAACUUACCAGAAAGGGACGGCUAACUACGUG